UACGGGGGGUGCGAGCGUUGUCCGGAAUUACUGGGCGUAAAGGGUUUGUAGGUGGCUUGCUAAGUCAGACGUGAAAUCCCUCAGCUUAACUGGGGAACUGCGUCUGAGACUGGCAAGCUUGAGUGCAGGAGAGGAACGCGGAAUUCCAGGUGUAGCGGUGAAAUGCGUAGAUAUCUGGAGGAACACCGGUGGCGAAGGCGGCGUUCUGGACUGUAACUGACACUGAGGAACGAAAGCCAGGGGAGCAAACGGG
Molecule: ribosomal RNA, 253 nt
Filed under: uncultured bacterium
Lineage: Bacteria
Description: partial 16S ribosomal RNA
Rfam family: Bacterial small subunit ribosomal RNA
Source: RNAcentral